AUGGAGGUGAGCGAGGAGAGGGCACUCCAUGGCGAUGAGCGGCAUGGCCGCGUCGACGAGAGGAGCGUACGGCCCGUUGCAGCCGCCGUGGGGCGUGGUUCCGAAUCGGCGCAGGUCGCCGCCAUGGGAGAGUUUUCCUUUACGAUUAUAGAUGACAUCUUAGCAGGAAAGAAUAUAGUUGUGAAAUUUACUUCAAAUGUCAGAGGCAAGCUUCCUCGUGACGGCGGCGGCGCUGGAUUUGCUCAUGGGUUGGUGCUGUAUCUACCGCUGACCUCCGGCACAGAUACGCUGACCUCCAGCGCCCUGGCCCCUCCGCCCCCAGCCUCACCUUUCCCAUGUCCGCCCUCGCCGAGCACUGAAUCUGCCGGCCGCCAGAGUUAUAGGUUUCUAAAUACUAUGCUCAUGGGACUUAAUUCUAGUGGCAUUCAAGACCUGGCAGGGUUGGGUCAACUGGCCCUUCGUGUUCAAGACCCGGCUCUGAUGAGGUUGAGAGUCGUGCUACCGACUGGGCAUAUCUUCAUCCUGAGCCGUGUCCGGAACCAGACCAGUAGGGGCACCCUGAGGGAGUACUCGAGGCAUGCUGUCAAGUUGGACGAGUGCAACCAGGGCAGCUGCCGUGUGUGUCCAGGGUUCAUACAGUCAAGGUGU
RNAcentral lists this ribosomal RNA (648 nucleotides) under Triticum aestivum (bread wheat). Its description in RNAcentral is "partial small subunit ribosomal RNA". Lineage: Eukaryota; Viridiplantae; Streptophyta; Magnoliopsida; Poales; Poaceae. The record is from RNAcentral.